UGCAGACAUGCGCGAGGUCACUCAAGGUCGGUUGAUAGCCGGCAGCACCGCUUUGACGUGUGGGAUCCUGAGCUCGGGGUCUGCAUUCUC
RNAcentral lists this non-coding RNA (90 nucleotides) under unclassified sequences. Its description in RNAcentral is "DUF3800-VII RNA". It matches the Rfam family "DUF3800-VII RNA". The record is from Rfam by way of RNAcentral.